This 279-nucleotide ribosomal RNA is filed under the name uncultured bacterium. RNAcentral's name for it is "partial 16S ribosomal RNA". It matches the Rfam family "Bacterial small subunit ribosomal RNA", at positions 506 to 784 of the family's 1533-position model. The record is from RNAcentral.
UGCCAGCCGCCGCGGUAAUACGAAGGGUGCUAGCGUUGUUCGGAAUUACUGGGCGUAAAGAGCAUGUAGGCGGAUGAAUUAGUCAGAGGUGAAAGCCCCGAGCUCAACUUGGGAACUGCCUUUGAUACUGCAAGCCUUGAGUUCGGAAGAGAGAGAUGGAAUUCCAGGUGUAGUGGUGAAAUACGUAGAUAUCUGGAAGAACACCAGUGGCGAAGGCGAUCUCUUGGUCCGUAACUGACGCUGAGGCGCGAAAGCGUGGGGAGCAAACAGGAUUAGAUA